Aphis gossypii (cotton aphid) is the source of this 2273-nucleotide RNA transcript. It is a transcript of the gene named transmembrane protein 17-like, with no coding region annotated. Lineage: Eukaryota; Metazoa; Arthropoda; Insecta; Hemiptera; Aphididae. The transcript has 6 exons. The record is from RefSeq and is a predicted model, not a curated record.
ACCGAUGCCAUGGUAACGCGUUGGAAAACAAAACGGCUCUCGUCAGUGAAUGUUUGUUUUUUUCUCACAAUCAAAACUCCUAUAUAGUUAUUUCUAACCUUGUUGGUAAUUAAAAUUGUCUGUAGCUGUUGUCGCUGAUGCUUUGUUUUUCUGGUUUUUUACCUCAAUAAUUAUUAUUAAUAACGAUUAAUAAUGAGUGACAGUUGGCGGCAAACAAUGAUGAACAUUACUGAUCGUAUAUUUCCAUCUCUUCCGCCUGAAGAAAAAGUCGGGUCAGCUUUUGGUAACGAGAUUGUAUCUAGUCUCCCAUUGCAAAUGUCACUGCAUUUUAACAUAGUAUACUUCCCAUUUUGGCUUUAUACAUUCUUAUCAUUGAUUUCGUUUAAAUUGAGUUGUUUAAGCAUGUUGAUCCAAAUUAUAAUUUCCGUGUCGUUAUUUUUAAUAUUGAUUCUAGAAUGCGCUCGAUUGUACUUGGGUGUUCAAGGAAAUCUCAAUGAAAAAAUUCCGGAUUUGGCCGCAUUUUGGAUGUUUUCGUUGAUACUCCAGUUACCUCUACAGUUAGUAUUCUUGUGUCUGAAUACUAUGCCUGUUGAAAUUGCUGUUCACGGUAUUAUGUGCGUUUUACUCUUGUCACAACUCAUUUUUGGGUUCAUUGUCCUACGUGACAUGGCAAAACAUCACAAGCUCCGUUUUCAUAUAUCACAAUUCUAUUGCAGCCAGCACAGCAAAACUGAAUGAACCAACAAUUUAAAAUUUGCUAUUUUAUGUUCCAGAUAAAAAUAUCAUUUUAAUUAAUUCAAGGGUCUUAUAAUAUUUAGUUAUGGGUUUUCAAUUUUCAAAACAUUUAAUUAAUGCAAUUACAUCAAGUAUUUUUGUAUGAAUUUAAUAGUAUUUUAUAUACCUAUUCAUAAUUGAUGAGUCGUAUAUUAUCGCAUUUUCGCAAAAGAAAAACAAAUGUUUAAAAAUGUUUUUGGUUCGGAUUUUUUGUGUAUGCGGACGAUAUUUGCAAAUCAGAUGGCAUCGCAGUGCAACAAAAGAACUUUGUUAAAGGCGAGUUAACGACCGAAAGAGGUAAAUGAGUCGAGAGAAGGACUGGUCGGGCAUAUUCAAACACCAGAUGGAAGAGAUAAUAGAAUAUUACGCGGAAACACAGAAGUAUUUAAUAUAAUAUUAUACAUGUGCGGUAUGUGUUCCAAGGGACGUUUUAAGGGUUAAACCAUUGUCUAGGGACUCCGGGAUACGCCAGUGCGCCGUUUGUCUUAUAGUUGUGAGCGCCAUAUCUCCGCGUGUAUAAUAUAAUGAAAGUUAAUGAGGCUGAAAUGCAGAUUGCAAAGCAAGACGGUACCGUUUUCGCUGAUUAAUGGCUCCCCGUUCGCGGAGGAAACAAUGCGAUAAUAACUUUAUUACGCCGGACGAACAAGUCGUGUCGCUCAGGAAAUCCAGCCCAGAGUGUGUUAUCUGGUCUCCCGAGAUCUAUCUUAUGUUGUAAUCGCAUUGAUAUAAUAUAAUACAAUACUCUGACAGACAUCGGUUUGUUUCCAAUACUAUAAUAUAGCAUAUUAUAAAUUACCGUGAUGUAUACAGUUACAAUAUAUUAAUAUAUCUUAAUACUAAUAAUAUUUUUUUCCUUUGUUAUAUACUUAUAUGUAAGUAGGUACAUAACUUGAAAUAUUUCAAUAAAGAGGAAAACAUUUCACUCAUAUUUAUUUUGAUUAUUUAAAUAUUUCUUUUAGACAUCAUUAUAUGCCCACGUGGCCAUGUAUUAAUAUUAAUGUUAUAAUAUUGUAUGUAUAGAAAUAGAAUAAUUAUAAUAAUAUAGAAUCUAUACCUAUUAUAGAUACUUUCAUUGAACAUAAAAAGUGCUGUCAUUUUUAUCUCAUUUUUAUUUAGUAAUUUUUUUAGAUUACCAAAUAUCAAACAACUGAGAAAGAAGAAUGAAUUGUUUUUUCAAUGAUGUGAUGGGUUAAAAAUUGUUUACUUAUUAUUACCUUUUGGAACAAAAAAAAAAAUUUUCAAUCUUUGACUUUGAGGGAGAUAUUUUUGUAGAAAUUUGGAUCAAGGCGGCUUCAAUUUUUCAUCAAAUAUUUGUAAAAGUGGGUAAAUCAAUGCUGUGCGUUCUUGUGCCAAUCGAUGAAUCUGGAUGACUAGAUAAAUAGGUGUAUAGAAUUACAGUGAAAGUUCCACAUGACGAAGUCUCGCGGGGAACAAAAAGUAUAGUAUAGAGAAAUUCGUUGAAUAAUAAUGAUUAAUAUAUAUAUAUAUAUAUGAAUAUG